This 304-nucleotide unclassified non-coding RNA is filed under the name Hevea brasiliensis (rubber tree). Lineage: Eukaryota; Viridiplantae; Streptophyta; Magnoliopsida; Malpighiales; Euphorbiaceae. The record is from RNAcentral.
AUGAGGUGGGUAUGUACUUUGUAGGUUCGAAGUUUUUUUAGACCAGAAGAAUUAAUACCCAUUUGGCUGAUAAGGCUUAUUGAAAUGGGAGAAGAUUUGAUUACUAGUCUGUCUAUUGAGAAUCACCUCCCAUCAACACUCUUAUCCAUGGAUUCUAGUUCUGUUUCUCAUGAGGAAUUGGACAGAGAGAUGAAUAGGACGAUAAUUCUUUCUAGGCCCCCUGAUAUUAAUCUUCCACUAUCUGCUGAGCGUAGUCCUCCUCCGCCAUCCUGGAAUUUGGACCCUUUUGAUAUAUUGGAUGUUA